This 113-nucleotide ribosomal RNA is filed under the name Enterobacter cloacae. RNAcentral's name for it is "partial 16S ribosomal RNA". It matches the Rfam family "Bacterial small subunit ribosomal RNA", at positions 1 to 106 of the family's 1533-position model. Lineage: Bacteria; Pseudomonadati; Pseudomonadota; Gammaproteobacteria; Enterobacterales; Enterobacteriaceae. RNAcentral also lists the same sequence under 1 other name. The record is from RNAcentral.
UUAAAUUGAAGAGUUUGAUCAUGGCUCAGAUUGAACGCUGGCGGCAGGCCUAACACAUGCAAGUCGAACGGUAGCACAGAGAGCUUGCUCUCGGGUGACGAGUGGCGGACGGG